AAACCUCUGAAAACGAGCAUUGAAUCAAGCAUUUGUGGAAACAACCUUCCCCAUUUCACCUGCGCUAUACAAUGAAUUCACCGAUAGAAAUACAGGAGAUGAAAUUGAUUUGUCUACUUUAAUAAAAAUACUCAGUUGCUAUAAGACCGAAAUAAAGUACGGAAACAAGCUGCCUCAAUAACCCAAUCGAAAAAUAGUGUCAGUAUGUACACGAAUUUAUGCCUGUGCUAUUCAAGCCCCACCUAAUAAAACGAAAAGUGGCUGGUUCUCUUCGGUUGAAAAACUACAAGAAUCAAUGCCACAAAUACAAAAAAAAAAGUAUAUUCAAAUUUUGUGCGACUUGCAAAAAAAAGUGAGCCAAAGACUGAGUGAAGUCAAUUAUUUGGAGGGUGCCUUGAAAUUGGCGGAAUCAGAACACCAAAAUGUUAGAAAGUCAAUUCAAAGAACUCAAGAAAAUAUAGAUAAGUUAAAGACUAUCAUUACUUGUGAAAAAAAUCUUCGUACUAGGUUUAAACACCGCUCAUUUUGGAGCAUGAGUUUUUUCUUGAUCUUUAUCUUUAUGAUGU
Molecule: long non-coding RNA, 566 nt
Organism: Schistocerca gregaria
Lineage: Eukaryota; Metazoa; Arthropoda; Insecta; Orthoptera; Acrididae
Exons: 4
Source: RefSeq, a predicted model, not a curated record